RNAcentral lists this ribosomal RNA (606 nucleotides) under uncultured bacterium. RNAcentral's name for it is "bacterial SSU rRNA". It matches the Rfam family "Bacterial small subunit ribosomal RNA", at positions 338 to 951 of the family's 1533-position model. The record is from RNAcentral.
CCUACGGGAGGCAGCAGUAGGGAAUAUUGGGCAAUGGAGGCAACUCUGACCCAGCCAUGCCGCGUGCAGGAUGAAGGCGUUAUGCGUUGUAAACUGCUUUUAUAUAGGAAGAAAGAGUUCUUGCGAGAACAGUUGACGGUACUAUAUGAAUAAGCACCGGCUAACUCCGUGCCAGCAGCCGCGGUAAUACGGAGGGUGCAAGCGUUGUCCGGAUUUAUUGGGUUUAAAGGGUGCGUAGGCGGUUUAUUAAGUCAGUGGUGAAAGACGGUCGCUCAACGAUUGCAGUGCCAUUGAUACUGGUAGACUUGAGUGAGAUUGAGGUAGCUGGAAUGGAUAGUGUAGCGGUGAAAUGCAUAGAUAUUAUCCAGAACACCAAUUGCGUAGGCAAGUUACUAAGUCUCAACUGACGCUGAGGCACGAAAGUGUGGGUAUCAAACAGGAUUAGAUACCCUGGUAGUCCACACUGUAAACGAUGAUAACUAACUGUUGUUUUCGAAUCAGUGGUACAGAGAAAUCGUUAAGUUAUCCACCUGGGGAGUACGCCGGCAACGGUGAAACUCAAAUGAAUUGAGGCUUGAGAGAGCGAGACGACGACGAGGGAGGAGG